UUAACUGCCCUGAAAACCCAAGUCCUCUGUUUUUAUCAACAAAACAGGUUCAGUAAAGGCACAAGGAAUAUAAGCUUCCCCGUCCUGCUCAAUCAAUAUGCCUCAACCCUGACCUGAAAGAAUAUCUCUAAGGGCAAAGACAUUUGUUAAAUUUCUUUUCCAAUUAAUUUGACAGCUCU
RNAcentral lists this small RNA (179 nucleotides) under Nothoprocta perdicaria. RNAcentral describes it as "TUC338 (ENSNPEG00000010682.1)". Lineage: Eukaryota; Metazoa; Chordata; Aves; Tinamiformes; Tinamidae. The record is from RNAcentral.